GACGAACGCUGGCGGCGUGCUUAACACAUGCAAGUCGAACGGAAAGGCCCUGCUUUUGUGGGGUGCUCGAGUGGCGAACGGGUGAGUAACACGUGAGUAACCUGCCCUUGACUUUGGGAUAACUUCAGGAAACUGGGGCUAAUACCGGAUAGGAGCUCCUGCUGCAUGGAGGGGGUUGGAAAGUUUCGGCGGGUGGGGAUGGACUCGCGGCUUAUCAGCUUGUUGGUGGGGUAGUGGCUUACCAAGGCUUUGACGGGUAGCCGGCCUGGGAGGGUGACCGGCCACAUUGGGACUGAGAUACGGCCCAGACUCCUACGGGAGGCAGAAGUGGGGAAUAUUGCACAAUGGGCGGAAGCCUGAUGCAGCAACGCCGCGUGCGGGAUGACGGCCUUCGGGUUGUAAACCGCUUUCGCCUGUGACGAAGCGUGAGUGACGGUAAUGGGUAAAGAAGCACCGGCUAACUACGUG
RNAcentral lists this ribosomal RNA (468 nucleotides) under uncultured bacterium. RNAcentral's name for it is "partial 16S ribosomal RNA". It matches the Rfam family "Bacterial small subunit ribosomal RNA", at positions 28 to 507 of the family's 1533-position model. The record is from RNAcentral.